CCUACGGUGGCAGCAGUGGGGAAUAUUGGACAAUGGGCGAAAGCCUGAUCCAGCCAUGCCGCGUGUGUGAAGAAGGCCUUCGGGUUGUAAAGCACUUUCAGUGGGGAAGAAAGCCUUGGGGCUAAUACCCUCGAGGAAGGACAUCACCCACAGAAGAAGCACCGGCUAACUCCGUGCCAGCAGCCGCGGUAAUACGGAGGGUGCGAGCGUUAAUCGGAAUUACUGGGCGUAAAGCGCGCGUAGGCGGUCUGAUAAGCCGGUUGUGAAAGCCCCGGGCUCAACCUGGGAACGGCAUCCGGAACUGUCAGGCUAGAGUGUAGGAGAGGAAGGUAGAAUUCCCGGUGUAGCGGUGAAAUGCGUAGAGAUCGGGAGGAAUACCAGUGGCGAAGGCGGCCUUCUGGACUGACACUGACGCUGAGGUGCGAAAGCGUGGGUAGCACACAGGAUUAGAUACCCUUGUAGUC
RNAcentral lists this ribosomal RNA (464 nucleotides) under Vreelandella stevensii. Its description in RNAcentral is "partial 16S ribosomal RNA". It matches the Rfam family "Bacterial small subunit ribosomal RNA", at positions 338 to 795 of the family's 1533-position model. The record is from RNAcentral. Lineage: Bacteria; Pseudomonadati; Pseudomonadota; Gammaproteobacteria; Oceanospirillales; Halomonadaceae.